AUACGGAGGAUCCAAGCGUUAUCCGGAUUUAUUGGGUUUAAAGGGUGCGUAGGCGGACUGGUAAGUCAGCUGUGAAAGUUUGCGGCUUAACCGUAAAAUUGCAGUUGAUACUGUCAGUCUUGAGUGUGCAUGAGGUGGGCGGAAUUUGUGGUGUAGCGGUGAAAUGCUUAGAUAUCACGAGGAACUCCAAUUGCGAAGGCAGCUCACUGGGGCAUAACUGACGCUCAUGCACGAAAGUGCGGGGAUCGAACAGGAUUAGAUACCCUGGUAGUCCGCACAGUAAACGAUGAAUACUUGUUUUCGGCGAUAUAAUGUCGGAGGCAAAGCGAAAGCGAUAAGUAUUCCACCUGGGGAGUACGCCGGCAACGGUGAAACUUAAAGGAAUUGACGGGG
RNAcentral lists this ribosomal RNA (393 nucleotides) under uncultured bacterium. Its description in RNAcentral is "partial 16S ribosomal RNA". It matches the Rfam family "Bacterial small subunit ribosomal RNA", at positions 523 to 918 of the family's 1533-position model. The record is from RNAcentral.